This 325-nucleotide ribosomal RNA is filed under the name uncultured bacterium. RNAcentral's name for it is "bacterial SSU rRNA". It matches the Rfam family "Bacterial small subunit ribosomal RNA", at positions 28 to 334 of the family's 1533-position model. The record is from RNAcentral.
GAUGAACGCUGGCGGCGUGCUUAACACAUGCAAGUCGAACGGGAAACAUUUUAAUGAAGCUUCGGCAGAUUUGGUUUGUUUCUAGUGGCGGACGGGUGAGUAACGCGUGGGUAACCUGCCUCACACUGGGGGAUAACAGUCAGAAAUGACUGCUAAUACCGCAUAUGCUAUAAGAUUCACAUGAAUCAAGUAGGAAAGGAGAAAUCCGCUGAUAGAUGAGCUUGCGUCUGAUUAGCUAGUUGGUGGGGUAAAGGCCUACCAAGGCGACGAUCAGUAGCCGAGCUGAGAGGCUCAACGGCCACAUUGGGACUGAGAUACGGCCCAG